RNAcentral lists this long non-coding RNA (4139 nucleotides) under Nicotiana benthamiana. RNAcentral describes it as "long non-coding RNA (NBEN_LNC039215)". Lineage: Eukaryota; Viridiplantae; Streptophyta; Magnoliopsida; Solanales; Solanaceae. The record is from RNAcentral.
AGAGACUUCAAGAUACAUCUGCUGCAUCCGCCGACCAAGGAGUCUCUAUCUUAUUCUAUCUUUUAGUAAUCAACUUCCUUCUUAAUGUUGUUUUAGACGUUUUGGAGUUAGAGCAUUGUACUACAUUUCUUUCAUCUUUUGUUCAUGUUGAGUUUUCGGGUUUUAGGAUAAUAUUGUAGACUUCCUUGAUGUUGAGUUAUAGAUUUUAAGCGGUAUUUAUAUACAAUUUUCUUCUAGUUGUUCAGUUUUGAAUUAUUUACUUUCGCAAGUUAUUUUGUUUUCGCAUUUUUAGGCUUACCUAGUCGUAGGGACUAGGUGUCGUCACGACAUGCUCAUGGAGGGAGAACUGGAGUCGUGACAAGUUAGUAUCAGAGCUCUAGGUUCAUAGGAGUCCCGAAACAUAGCUCGGUUUAUUAGAAUCUCACUGAUCAGUACGGAGACGUCUGUACUUAUCUACGAAGGGCUAUUUAACGGUUAGGAAAAUUCCACUUCAUUUGAUUUCAUGGUCGUGCAAGAUUUUGAUAUCACAGCUAAAUUUCUGUCUUUCUAUUCUCUUAUAGAUGGUGAGGACACGUGCCACUUAAGACGAUCAGGCACCCAUACUCCCUAAUGGAGCCGUCAGAGGUCGGGCUUGGGGUAGAGGUCGAGGGCGUGCAUGUGGUGCAGCCAGAGCACCUGCGCGAGCUGCCGCCGAGGUACCACCAGUAGAUCCAGUUGGAGUCGAGGCACCUGACACGCCUACUACCACUGAUACCACUAGACUAGCACAGUUCAUGAGCAUGUACACCACUUUUGCUUAAGUAGGGUUGCUUCCCCUUGUUGCACCCACAUCCUAGGCCGGGGAGGAGCACAGACUCCAGCUGCCCACACUCCUAAGCAGCGAGUUCCUGCUAAGCAGGUCCCCGAGAUUAUUCCAAUACCACCUGAAAUACAUGUUUAGCCCGAAGACAAGAUAGCGGCUUCGAGGAGAAGCAACUGAGGCUUGAGAGGUUCGAGAAGUACAAGCCUCUUGUAUUUAGUGGUCUAGAAUAGGAGGAUGCUCUGGGUUUUCUUGAUGAGUGCUUUCGCAUUUCCGUACCAUGGGUAUUUCGAGAUUCAGCGGAGUUUCUUUCACUACUUUUCAGCUCUGAGGGGUUGCCUAUGAGUGGUGGUGCACCUAUGAGUUAGAUAGUCCAGAUAAGGCUGCUUUACUGACUUGGACUUACUUUUCUGAUCUAUUCCUGAAAGAGUAUAUUCCUCAUAGAUGCAGGGAUGUAUGGCGCACAGAGUUUGAGUAUUUGCUCUAGGGUGCUAUGACUGUUUUAGAGUAUGCUGCCUGUUACACCAGUUUGGCUAGGCAUGCACCAGCCUUGGCUGCUACUGUUUGCGAGAGGAUUCGCUGGCUUAUUGAGGGGCUUACUCGUAUCAUCAGAUCUAGCAUGGCUCGUGAGUUAGAGAUGGAUAUUUCUUAUCAGCACGUGGUGAGCAGUCCUAGAAGGAUUGAGGGUAUACAUUCUAGGGAGAGGGAUGAGCGAGAGAGGUCAAGAGGUCUCGUGAGUCAGGCCAUUAUUCUGCGCCCGCACCCCAGUUGUAGGUCAUCAUGCAAGGGGUUAUAUGAGUCGCCCAUUUCAUUCAACUUUUCCAGCAGCCAGCAAUGCUCCAGCUCCUCCUAGGCCUCAAGAGCCUUAUUAUCCACGUGCAGUUUCUAGCAUGCCUCCUACGCGUGGUGUUUCCAGAGGUCAAUCCAGCAGAUUUUGUCCUAGCUAGUUGCACCACCACAUCUUCCCAAAGCUUGUUUUCAGUGUGGUGACACAUGCCAUAUGGUUAGGGAUUGCCCUAGACUUGGGCGGGGUGCAUCUUCAAAGACUUCUCAGCUGUAGCGUGCCCCGAAGAUUUCACAAGCUAUACAGCUCCAGUUGCCGCCCCGCCUAUUCAGCUAGCUAGAGGUGGUGGCCGGGGAGGUAGAGGUCACCCUCGAGGGGGAGACCAGGCCAUAUACUAUGACCUUCUUGCUCGUGCCGAGGAUGUUGCUUCCGAUUCUGUUAUCAUGAGCAUUAUACAGGUUUGUCACAGAGAUGCAUCAUUUCUAUUCAAUCCAGGCUCUACUUACUCUUAUUUGUCUUAUUAUUUCCCUCCUCAUUUGGCUGUACCCCGAGAUUCCUUGAGUUCUCCUGUGUAUGCAAACAUAAGUGGAAACAUUAAAGGAUUAAAAUAGUUCAGGAUUGAAAUAACAAUGAAAAGCAUCCCGAGAACAACGACAUAGUCACAAAGCAUGAAUUCACAUUGCCUAGAGUCAACAGGAGGAGUUUUAACCUUGUACUCAAUCAAGAACAGACAAGAUCCAUUAAUUCAACAAAGGUUUCUUAUGGUCUUGGUCCACUAACUAAUACUAGGUGAACACACAACCUUGUACCGUUCAUAAGUUAGUUUGUUGGAUAAAACAGUCACACAUAAAAGCAAGCAAGUUGAAGGAAUAGGUACUGUGAUUUAAUCCUAUGUUUAUUAUGGAUGAACAUCUAUAAUAGGAAAAAAUCAUUGGUCUAAUGACAUAGGGGUAGACUCAUAGAUAUAUUGUAAGCAAGACAUCACAAACGUAGUGAAUAGAAACAGGCAGGUUGACAUGCUGAAAAUAGGACCCUCUAGGUUUAACCAUAUGUAAGCAAGAAUGUUGAUUAAUGCAUUAGCAUAUAUCACAUAAGUCUUAGAAAUAGGCAUACUAAUACCACGGAAACAUACUAAUUAAAACAACAUGAAAGUAAACAUGCUAGGACAGGAAACACACAAAUCUUGAAAACAGACAAUGUAGAAAUUUGAAGGUAGGGACAAACCACAUAGAUCUUAGUUAAGAGGGAUGCUAAUAUCAGGGAAACAUACUGAUUCAACGACAUGAAAGCAUGCAUGUUGAGAACAAGAAACAUACUGAAUUAGUAACGUACAAGUGAUCAUGUUCAGCAGGAAGUACAUAAACCAAGUCAUACAGAUGUCAGAAUAGUAAUAAAGUGAGACAUAUCGUUUAGGAAUUUGCAGUAUGAGAGUGAGGUAAAUAGGAUCCAAGAUCUAGCCUUGGCUUUCAUCCGGCUAGACAGUGCAAUAGACAAAUAAUAGUAGAGAGCAAGAGCUUUUAGAGGUGUUGUUCCUUAGGUCUAUGUAUGCGUUUGAAUAUGGUCAUGUAUUUAUAGGAGUCUGAGUAGUGUAAAGUAAAUAAAGCAAAGAAAUCAAUCAAACAUUCAAUCAAGCUUGACAUGGCAGAAAAUCACGGAGACAUACCCAAAAAUAACUUUGGUUGAGUUUUAAAUAAGGCAAGAAGUGAUUCAAACAACUAGUUAGGGUCAUAACACCAUAAAUCAAAUAAUUAACCACACAAAUAAGGUGACAUAAAUAAUAAGAGACCAAUCUGGGAUCAAACACCCCUUAAAAUAAGCUUAAUAGGCGAGGAAUGUCAAUUAGGAAUCUCAAAACUGAGGAAAGCGGGUAAAAUAUGGUAAAUCAUCUCAGCAAAACAUGAAAGCUUAGAUGGUUGAGUAAUUCAAGCAACUAUCUAAAAAUAAUGGGCGGAAUAUUAAAGUGAACAACGAACAAUCAAAUAACUAAGACUGGAACAUAAUCAUUAAAGAAAGAUUAAUCAAACACAUAAUGAAUUUUAGAAAAGCCUUUUUCAAAAAUAGACGAAGUGGAACUUCAUUUUGAAAAACAUUAAGAGUCUAUUAACAGAAAAGAAAUAAGAGAUCUUUAAAGAAAAAUCGCUGACAAACUCACAAUCACUCCACAUCUUCAAAGAUCUCGACAGAUUUAUGUCUAAAAGAUUAGGGUGUUGAGGAAAGAGGUAGGAUAAAGAGAAUCUUGUUUUGAACCAAGCAAUCGAACCAUAAACUCAAGAUGAUUGCACUCACAAAAGGAAGUGACCAUCGACAGACUUCUUAAAUAGUCUCAAACAAGAUCUGUGCUACAUCUCUUUGAUAUCUCUUUCAUAAUAUCGUAAAAUUGAACAAUCAGAAGAAGCAUGAGACCAGUAGAGGUCUGAAACAACCAUGGAAUCCCAUGGAAUAGGUAAAAAUUGAAGGGAUUCAGGAUACGUUUAGGUGGCGGCGAUUAGUGUUAGGGUUGGUCUUAGACGGAACCAGAGAAGAGGGUAUUCAAGGGCGGCUGGUAUAUGAAGAAUG